Molecule: ribosomal RNA, 253 nt
Filed under: uncultured bacterium
Lineage: Bacteria
Description: partial 16S ribosomal RNA
Rfam family: Bacterial small subunit ribosomal RNA
Source: RNAcentral
GACGAACCACACAAACGUUAUUCGGAAUUACUGGGCUUAAAGGGUGCGUAGGCGGCGCAGAAAGUAGGGUGUGAAAUCCCUCGGCUCAACCGAGGAACUGCGCCCUAAACUACUGUGCUCGAGGGAGGUAGAGGUGAGCGGAACUUAGGGUGGAGCGGUGAAAUGCGUUGAUAUCCUAAGGAACACCGGUGGCGAAGGCGGGUCUCUGGGCCGAUACUGACGCUGAGGAGCGAAAGCAUGGGGAGCGAACAGG